GAAUUUUUUCAAGGCUGAUCAACACGGUAUACAUAUGCCCUAUACAUAUAUAAAGAUCGUCUUUUAACUUGACCACUUCAUGAAAAACUUUCAAAGUUGUAAUUUCUCGCUUAUUAUUUUUUAACAAAUUACACCAACUUACCAAUUGUUUCUCGUUCGAUAUUUCAAGCGAAAAUUAAAAGAUGUCUCUAAGAUUUUUACUGAUUCUGUUUGCUGUUGGUCUGUUGGCUGUGGUCACUUUUGCCUUCGACGAAGAAAACCAAUGUGUCGAGGCAGGUGAAGACUGUAGUCGUUUUACGGGUUCAGCACCAUGUUGUGAAGGUUUUGAGUGUCUGAUUGACGAUGAGCAAAUCGGAAGUACUGGUGAAUGUCAAAACAAUACGCUACCUAUGGACCGAUAAAACGAAUUCGUGAAAAUUCGCUAAUUGCAGUGAAAAGUACAUCAUUAUUUCCAAUAUCUGACAUACUUCUCACUACAAAUUAGUUAAUAUUCACUAAUUAUGGUCAACUUUCAUUAAUCCAUUAUAAAAAUUUAUAUAUAAUUUGUUAACAUGUUGAGUUUCACAUUUUGGAGAUGUUUCAAUAAAAUGUGAUAACUUAUAAUUUUUAUCAAUAAAUAUUAAAAUAUAUAUAUA
This is a long non-coding RNA of Microplitis mediator, 635 nucleotides long. RefSeq lists it as uncharacterized. The record is from RefSeq and is a predicted model, not a curated record. Lineage: Eukaryota; Metazoa; Arthropoda; Insecta; Hymenoptera; Braconidae. The transcript is spliced from 3 exons.